This 432-nucleotide ribosomal RNA is filed under the name uncultured bacterium. Its description in RNAcentral is "bacterial SSU rRNA". It matches the Rfam family "Bacterial small subunit ribosomal RNA", at positions 355 to 786 of the family's 1533-position model. The record is from RNAcentral.
UGAGGAAUAUUGGUCAAUGGGCGGGAGCCUGAACCAGCCAAGCCGCGUGAGGGAGGAAGGCCCUAUGGGUCGUAAACCUCUUUUGUCAGGGAACAAAAGCGAAUAUGUAUACUAGUCUGAGUGUACCUGAGAAAAAGCAUCGGCUAACUCCGUGCCAGCAGCCGCGGUAAUACGGAGGAUGCGAGCGUUAUCCGGAUUUAUUGGGUUUAAAGGGUGCGUAGGCGGCGGUGCAAGUCAGCGGUAAAAGCCCGGGGCUCAACCCCGGCGAGCCGUUGAAACUGCAGUGCUAGAGAAGGCGAGAGGUACGCGGAAUGCGCAGUGUAGCGGUGAAAUGCUUAGAUAUUGCGCAGAACUCCGAUUGCGAAGGCAGCGUACUGGCGCCUGACUGACGCUGAGGCACGAAAGCGUGGGGAUCGAACAGGAUUAGAUACC